Molecule: ribosomal RNA, 333 nt
Filed under: Triticum aestivum (bread wheat)
Lineage: Eukaryota; Viridiplantae; Streptophyta; Magnoliopsida; Poales; Poaceae
Description: partial small subunit ribosomal RNA
Source: RNAcentral
AUGGCAUUGGCCUGGUUAAUGCUGGAGGCAAUCUGCUCUAGCUCAUACCAAAACUUCAUCACAGCUGGGGUUAAAUUCCUUCCAAAGUUAAGCAUGAGAGUAUGGCCAUCCCACUGUCACGACCCAAGAUCAGAGAUGGGACGGAGAGACGGAUCAGCACCAAUAUCUAGAUAUAAAUUGAGGAUACAAGGAGAAUCUGGGAUGAGAAAUCAGCAAGCAAGGAGAGGAAUACAGAGAGCAGGAGGUGAGGAGCUGGAGCAAGGGGGCGAGAGACUUGAUAACGAUUCAUUCCUUCGAUGCCCUCCUCCUGUGCUCGCCGGGUUGCAUAUGUAG